Molecule: ribosomal RNA, 460 nt
Filed under: uncultured bacterium
Lineage: Bacteria
Description: partial 16S ribosomal RNA
Rfam family: Bacterial small subunit ribosomal RNA
Source: RNAcentral
CCUACGGGUGGCAGCAGUGAGGAAUAUUGGUCAAUGGUCGGGAGACUGAACCAGCCAAGCCGCGUGAGGGAUGAAGGUACAGAGUAUCGUAAACCUCUUUUGUAAGGGAACAAAGGCGUGAACGCGUCUCUGGAUGAGUGUACCCUAUGAAAAAGCAUCGGCUAACUCCGUGCCAGCAGCCGCGGUAAUACGGAGGAUGCGAGCGUUAUCCGGAUUUAUUGGGUUUAAAGGGUGCGCAGGCGGUGUGUUAAGUCAGCGGUGAAAGCCCGGGGCUUAACCACAGCCGGGCAGUGGAACUUGGAAGACUCGAGUUGGAGAGAGGUAGGCGGAAUGCGCGGUGUAGCGGUGAAAUGCAUAGAUAUCGCGCAGAACUCCGAUUGCGAAGGCAGCAUGCUGGGCCAUCACUGACGCUGAGGCACGAAAGCGUGGGUAGCAAACAGGAUUAGAUACCCCAGUAGUC